UACGAAGGGGGCUAGCGUUGCUCGGAAUUACUGGGCGUAAAGCGCACGUAGGCGGCUCUUUAAGUCGGGGGUGAAAUCCUGGAGCUCAACUCCAGAACUGCCUUCGAUACUGGAAGACUUGAGUCCGGGAGAGGUGAGUGGAACUGCGAGUGUAGAGGUGAAAUUCGUAGAUAUUCGCAAGAACACCAGUGGCGAAAGCGGCUACCUGGCCCAUUCUUGACGCUGAGGCGCGAAAGCUAGGGGAGCAAACGGG
Molecule: ribosomal RNA, 253 nt
Filed under: uncultured bacterium
Lineage: Bacteria
Description: partial 16S ribosomal RNA
Rfam family: Bacterial small subunit ribosomal RNA
Source: RNAcentral